GAUGAAGAACGUAGUGAAAUGCGAUAAGUAAUGCGAAUUGCAGAUUUCAAUGAGUCAUCGAAUCUUUGAACGCACAUUGCGCCCGCCAGUAUUCUGGCGGGCAUGCCUGUUCGAGCGUCAUUUCAACCAUCAAGCCCCCGGGCUUGCGUUGGGGCCCUGCGGCUGCCGCAGGCCCCGAAAAGCAGUGGCGGGCUCGCUGUCACACCGAGCGCAGUAGCGAUUCUCGCUCCGGGCGUCGGCGGCGGGCACCGGCCGUGAAACCCCCCCACAUCCACAAGGUUGACCUCGGAUCAGGUAGGAAUACCCGCUGAACUUAAGCAUAUCAAUAAGCGGAGGA
This 337-nucleotide unclassified non-coding RNA is filed under the name soil metagenome. Its description in RNAcentral is "partial contains 5.8S ribosomal RNA, internal transcribed spacer 2, and large subunit ribosomal RNA". The stretch from base 1 to 120 matches the Rfam family "5.8S ribosomal RNA", at positions 35 to 154 of the family's 154-position model. The record is from RNAcentral.